Molecule: long non-coding RNA, 270 nt
Filed under: Salvia miltiorrhiza (redroot sage)
Lineage: Eukaryota; Viridiplantae; Streptophyta; Magnoliopsida; Lamiales; Lamiaceae
Description: long non-coding RNA (SMIL_LNC001349)
Source: RNAcentral
CAAAUUGAUCCAAGAUGAUGACAGAAUAUGUUGUAAAAGAAGCAUUUCACAAAAAGAAACCGGCCUUGAUUGAUUUUUCAACGAAAAAUAGAAAUUUCCAAAGUAUUUGAGACAUCAAAGACAAGUCAAACAAACUUUACUACACCCAAUGUAAAUUCUAGGCUUCAUAUAUUUUUCAUUCUUUCAUUCAGAGAACAAGAAAAGAAAAGAUCUAACAAAGAUACGUCAAAUUGCUACUCACCAACGUGGAAGCUCCACAUCGAAUCCUGC